CUUGGUGUGUGGUUGCAUGUUUGAUCUUUGUUUAGGCAGAGAAUGCAUGUUAUACACACCUCUUCAUUUAUUGGGUCAAGUUCGGCUUGGUCCUGCUAGGUUUCUUGUGCUGUAUACCUCUCAGAAGGUACUCGGUUGGUUAAAUGUUUGGCUUUCUUACACGCAUUGAAUCCUUUGGGGGAUUUGUUGCGUGUUAGACCACAAAGCAGCCAUAGUGUUCCACUCCCCAAGCGCCUUUUGAUUGUGUUUUGGGUUGUUGGCACAUUAUGUAUUGCUUGAUCGCUCGGAUAUGGAACAUUGAGUGGGUACGGGGCAUUAUUUGCUUCUAUUUACCCCAAAAUUAAGCGUUCUACGCUUGUUGCGGACGACUGUUGUUUUCGUUUUGGUUUUGGCCAUAUUGGCUUGAAUCAUGCGCUAGCAACGUCGGUGAGGAA
Molecule: unclassified non-coding RNA, 434 nt
Filed under: Elacholoma sp. Campbell 1762
Lineage: Eukaryota; Viridiplantae; Streptophyta; Magnoliopsida; Lamiales; Phrymaceae
Description: partial external transcribed spacer
Source: RNAcentral